UACGUAGGGUGCAAGCGUUGUCCGGAAUUAUUGGGCGUAAAGAGCUCGUAGGCGGUCUGUCGCGUCUGCUGUGAAAACUCGGGGCUUAACCCCGGGCCUGCAGUGGGUACGGGCAGACUAGAGUGCGGUAGGGGAGACUGGAAUUCCUGGUGUAGCGGUGAAAUGCGCAGAUAUCAGGAGGAACACCGGUGGCGAAGGCGGGUCUCUGGGCCGUAACUGACGCUGAGGAGCGAAAGCAUGGGGAGCGAGCAGG
RNAcentral lists this ribosomal RNA (253 nucleotides) under uncultured bacterium. RNAcentral describes it as "partial 16S ribosomal RNA". It matches the Rfam family "Bacterial small subunit ribosomal RNA", at positions 524 to 776 of the family's 1533-position model. The record is from RNAcentral.